Thalassophryne amazonica is the source of this 1320-nucleotide long non-coding RNA. RefSeq lists it as uncharacterized. The transcript is spliced from 3 exons. The record is from RefSeq and is a predicted model, not a curated record. NCBI's taxonomy places the organism in Eukaryota, Metazoa, Chordata, Actinopteri, Batrachoidiformes, Batrachoididae.
AGCUGCUUGUUUUUCUGAGACACGCCCACUGAUUGGUCAGUGCCCUGUGUAACACACCCACCCAGUCUGUGGAAAUAGAUCGGAAAGUAUUGCCUCCUUUCCAUUUAAAGCAAUAGGCACAGACACAUUCUUUCAGACUUUAAAGUGCCAUGGUUUUAGAAUAUGUAUGUGAAGUAUUUUUGGCUGUACUUCAAGAUUAGUUUUAAUACACUUGUUGGCCUAUAUUAGCGUGCUGAAUUGGUGUGUAACAGGGGUCACCAAUCCUGUUCCUGAAGAUCUUAACUAAGGCUCCAUGUCCAUAUUGCACCCCCCUGAAAAGCACUGAGGCCAAGAGAAUCUGUGCAGGGGAUUUUUUUUUCUAUGACAAUAAACAGCUAACAACUACUUUAUAAUGUACGGUGAUAAAAAGUACUCAUUCUCAGCAGGUACAUGGCAUCUGCCCAGUCUACUAUUUUGAAGGAUAAAUCAUCUUACUGUAGACAGAAAGCAAAAAUUAAUUUCUUCUCCCGAUUGCCUGAAAAGGUGCUGCAAUGACAUCACAGCAUCUUCUUCAAAAAUUCGGGGGGGGGGGGGCUUGUGGGUUUAAAAAAAACAAAGAAAAACAGAGUGCUGUGUUUUUCAUGGAGGCGGCUGCAUACAUUCAUUAUAUGUAGAGCAAGUGAUGAAAAGAUGCCGAUACCAAGAAGGAAAUGCUAUAUGAGCACAGGGCCAAGUCAGGUGUGCUCAGCCAGUAAAACAUCCAAUGUUUGCAGCACGUACACAUGAAGAAUGUGCAGGGCAGGUGGUGACGCCUGGUGCACAAUGUGACCCCUUUAAGACAAUCUAUACCGACACCUCUAAAUCAAUGUUACUCAAAUGUUCAAGGUAAAUAAUGCACAUAGCACUGUUUAAAGAGGACUUGCACAAAGCUGAGUGUUGCCUUGCUGUUUUGCAAAAGUAGACAAUAUUGUAGUAUUCUCUUUCAAACCUCUGUUCGAUAGAGGUGGUGGUGGUUACGUGAUCGCCCGCCACUGUCUGAUGCUUGUCAUUGCAAAAAGAUCCUUUGCAGAAUUCAAACACUCCCAUCAAUUUUCUUUUCUUGUGGAAGAAACUGUAAAUUCUAAACAGGUCUAGAAUUUGUCAGACCAUUUUUCAGGAGGUUGAACUGUGCUAGUUUUAAAGCUAGCAUAAAUUGCUGCUUUUGCACAGUAGCGACUUGAGUCCACCUUGGUCGCAAACUUUACUUAACACUGUGGAAUAACUGGAGAUGCACCCAGCAGGAGCUGAGGACAUUUUAACAGAUGAACUGAGGUCUAAAUAACAUUGGUUCACAGAUUGUCC